GACGAACGCUGGCGGCGUGCCUAACACAUGCAAGUCGAACGAGGUCCAAGGAAGCUUGCUUCCUGAAGACCUAGUGGCGAACGGGUGAGUAACACGUGAGAAACCUGCCUCGGAGUGGGGAAUAACUCGGGGAAACUCGAGCUAAUACCGCAUACCUUCACAUGAUCGCAUGGUCGAGUGAAGAAAGAAUUUCGCUCUGAGAGGGUCUCGCGGCCUAUCAGCUUGUUGGUGGGGUAACGGCCUACCAAGGCAACGACGGGUAGCUGGUUUGAGAGAACGAUCAGCCACACUGGGACUGAGACACGGCCCAGACUCCUACGGGAGGCAGCAGUGGGGAAUCUUGCGCAAUGGGCGAAAGCCUGACGCAGCAACGCCGCGUGCGGGAUGACGGCCUUCGUGGUUGUAAACCGACUUUCAGCAGGGAC
RNAcentral lists this ribosomal RNA (425 nucleotides) under uncultured bacterium. RNAcentral's name for it is "bacterial SSU rRNA". It matches the Rfam family "Bacterial small subunit ribosomal RNA", at positions 28 to 446 of the family's 1533-position model. The record is from RNAcentral.